GUAUUUUUAAUGCUAAUAUAUAAUUAUAUAUUUUCUUCAUGUAGUGAACCUUUUUCUUUUUUUGCAAACAGGAUUCCGUGUUCAUCAACAAUAUUUGAUGUCAUGGUCUGUUCUAAUGUUAUCAUCUCUGACCCUACUCUCCCAUGCCGUAUUUCAUAUUGUUUUAGCCAUUGAGGGGGAUCAGUGGACUACUGCUGAUGCUCAGUGGGCUGAGCUAAUUGGAUUUAUAAG
RNAcentral lists this long non-coding RNA (231 nucleotides) under Phaseolus vulgaris (common bean). Its description in RNAcentral is "long non-coding RNA (PVUL_LNC002683)". Lineage: Eukaryota; Viridiplantae; Streptophyta; Magnoliopsida; Fabales; Fabaceae. The record is from RNAcentral.